CAAUAUUGACUAUCGUAGGAUGGAAAGUUUCAUAAAAGUUUCUAUCUUUCUUGCACGUUCAUCUGGACUAUCAACAUCGCGGAAAAAGUUUAAGAGGCAGGUGUGUUUACAAUCGUGCGAAUCGGUCGCUUCGAAUUUUGAUGAAGGAGAAGGUUUAAAUUAUGUUUUCGACGAAUAAAAGUAUCGAGCAAAUUCUGAUCUCGUUUUAUAAUUGACGAAAAUCGUAUGGAUGCGCCGAAUGAUGCACGAUAAAGAUUUCAUCGAGAAUCGUUCCGUGAUCAAUGGAAAAAAGGAGGGACGCGUAUGUAACCGAAAGAACAAUUAAUGCCACACGGAAGGUAAAUGGACGGUGAAGGGUAUAGUGGACACGAGCGGCCGUUACGAUCAGCUAUCCGAAAUAAUGCAUAGAACGUAGAGUGCACGUAACGGAAUAACAAUUUCCUACUGCAUUAAUUAGAGGUCGACGAGGCGUGAAAUCGAGGUUUACGAAGCGUCAACUAGUUUUACACAUCGCGACGGAAUAAUAACGUCGCGACACGACUAGAAUCCCGAAUACAUUAGCUAUGGUAGCGCGACCGCGACCUCUGCUGGAUCGCUGAAAACCAAAGGGAUCGAGGGGCGGGGGACGCCACCUCCCGCCGCGAUAGCGGUCUGUAAUGAUUAACGACGAGCGUUAAUGCCCGAAAUUCGAUCGCCACUCGACAAUUAUUGCGAACAUAGACGACAAAACGGAUGGACGACGCGGGAUAUUCGUGACAAACGUGAUGGUGGAAAAGAUUCGCGGGAGGAAGGAAGAAAGAUUCGAUCGUCGGAAUAGAACGUAUCGGGUCUGCGAUCCAUCGAAACUCGCGAACGGUAAGCGUUACUUUGCCAACCCUGUAAUUUUAAUUCGGCACAAAGUCCAACGUCCGUUCGCGAAAUUGCGGUGUUUAAUUGCGAUCAACCGUGUAAUGACCGGCAGCGGUCAAUUAACACUUCCAAGACCGGCGAGUGUGAGUGUACGUGAGCGAGGAGCAAGAACGUAUGACAUAUACGCGGCGAACACGUAACACACAAAGUAGACGCCUGGAAUUGGCGUUUUUGUUUCCCGAUAUCAAUUUCGGAGCGACGAUGAGGGGCUUUUAAUUGGGACUGGCGAUGCUGGGUGGUAGUGGCGACGUUGCUGAUGGCGACCAAAUCGUCUAUCGACAGUAAUGGAACGCGAUAAAUACAAGUAAAUCUCGACGCGAAGAGAUUUACAAUACUUUUUUCCCUUUUUUCAGACUAUCCGAAAAUUAAUCGUAAUAUCGAUUUCAUCGCGCGAGUUCAACGAUCUAUAAUGUCGUGUUAUUUAAAGAAAAUAUUAAUAAAAAUAUAUCUCGUCGUUGGAAACAUUUGAAACGUAAAUUUUUUUAAUUUAUGAUAAUCCCUUUUUAUCCCAACGUAUAAUUUGUUCGAAUUAAUUUUUCAAUUUUUUUCAUUCAAAUAAAGUUUUCGUUUCAAAUUUAUAUAACAGAUUCGAAAAUAAGGUUAUCGAUAUUCUUCUCGAUAAUUGCUAUACGAGAUGACAAGAAUUAAUUUUUCAAUCGCACAUUUUUCCAUUUUUUGGCAUUCUAUGAAUUUCAUAUUUUAUGGUUAUAUUAUCGCGAUACAUAAUCGUCGUGCUAGAGAACAACUUUUCAAUGGACAAUUUGUAUUUUCAAUUGAAAUCAUAUCGAUAAAGAUUGUUCGAUUACAUCUUAUUUCAUGUCAUUGUUACGUUAUUAAAGAUAUUAAUUUUACAAAUAUAACGAAACGUAAUACGAAAGCGGGAAAAUUCACUGAGAAACGUUUGAAAGAACGAAGUGACUCGAAAUAUGUACCUUUGUUAUUCUCAGCCAAGAUUGGUUUCCGUUGCGAUACAAUAGCUUUGCCCGCAGUAGGUCUCUAAUCGAUGAUUCUGGAAGUGGUUAUAUUUCACUGCACACAUUCUAUUACGAAGUUACAAUUUGAUCGAUCGUAGGAAGCGAAUACCGCCGUCUGACCCGCACGAGAAGCGUGAACUCCACCUCGAUUUGAAUUUCACGUAGAAAAAUGACACCGACGUUUGUCCAUCUAGCGUUCGAAUACCGAACUAAAAGUUCAACAUUCGAGCGGUAACUGCCUUCCAAGCGACUUUAUCUUUGAAUCGUCAUUUCCGCUGCUUAUCGCUUAGGUAAACUAUUCAUGUUUUAAAUAUAGAAUGUAGCAUAAGGAAAGCAUUAUCGCUGUUUCUAUUACGAGUAUUGUAUGAUAAUUAAAGAAAUCAAAUUAUAAACUAUCGAAGAAAAUCUAUCAACUAUCGUGAUUCGUGUUUUACGAUUUCGACGAUAAACGAUUGAGCGUCCGAGAUAAAUUAGUUAAAAUUAAACUCUGACAGAAACUAACAAAGAAGAAGCGUAGAUAGAGGAAGGGUGACGAGAAUGAUUGUAGGUAUGGGGAUGAAGCGUAGAAUGGGGAAUGGGCAAACAGAGCGCAAUUAACGUGCGACCAUUAAAUAUGUACGCGAGUUACUGCGUCACGAUACGUGUGUGCAGGCCAGCGCAAAUGCAUUGGCUAUCGAACGCUCGCACGGCACUACCGAUCUCUUCUUGCAUCCUGUUGGCACAGCCGCUUGAUUAGCUCCGCCAUAUUUACAUAUCAUUAGCCGAGUGUUUGUCCGAGUUGGGAGUUCCCCUUCUGCUUCACCGUUGUCCGUCAAUAUACGAAAUAAAAGUUAUUACACCGUACAAAAUAUUAUGUUGAUAAAAAAUCACUCUUAUAAAAGCUAUUUUUCGCAUACUAAUUUUCGAUACAUUCUAUCUUUUAAAAAUUCAGAUUGAAAAAUUUUGAAUUAAAUCGUCGCGUAUAAAUAAACUUUUACAUUCUAGAAUUUAUAUUUCAGUUUCACUUUAUUCAUAAAAAUACGAAUUUCGAUUUUAAUCUCGUUGCCUACAUUGCAUAACAAUUUCUAUUUUUGUUGUUUUACACUACUUAAAUGUAUUGGACAAGCUGGCGGUAAUUGCCACAAGAGGAAAACAAAAACGGAAUAAAUAGAUGAACGAACUCGAUUGCUUAACGUCCAAUUUUCAAUUGGACAAGUUAUCUCGACGAUAAUGUAAUUAAUUCAUCGUUAUAUAAAUCGUUAUGUUCGACAAUGUAAUUUCUGAAAGACAUCUGCCUAAAGUGAAGCAUAAAG
This 3175-nucleotide long non-coding RNA is filed under the name Apis mellifera (honey bee). RNAcentral's name for it is "uncharacterized LOC113219429". Lineage: Eukaryota; Metazoa; Arthropoda; Insecta; Hymenoptera; Apidae. The record is from RNAcentral.